RNAcentral lists this long non-coding RNA (2756 nucleotides) under Vigna radiata. RNAcentral's name for it is "long non-coding RNA (VRAD_LNC010072)". Lineage: Eukaryota; Viridiplantae; Streptophyta; Magnoliopsida; Fabales; Fabaceae. The record is from RNAcentral.
GAGAACAGUCAGAGUAAAAUGGUAGUUCAGAUAUUGAUGUUACAGUCAUCCAAAAUAUAGAGAGAAUUAAAACGAAAAGAAACCAAAGUACAAGUUUUCUAAGGUUUCCCAAAAUAUAAGAUUACUAACCAUUAAAAAGACCUAAAGAGUGUUCUUCGAAAUAACAAUCUAUAGAAAUAUGAACUAAUAGACGUCCUAAGUACUAGGUGUUGGAUCUUCCUCAGCCUCCAACGCUUGCUCCAAGGGUACCUCAUCACCUACUGCUCACAUCCAAAGGAUUGGAUGAUCAUCGCAAGGGGGAAGGCAAACACAUACAAACAUACAUGUGCAAGGAUGAGCUAGGUCUCAAACAAACAUACAAAUCAUGGCAAAUUAUUCUAGCAUUAUCGAGAACAUCCAUUUACAUACAAGCAUAUAAGCCAUCAUGAACAUAAGCACUUAUCUCAUAAAGUCAAUUAAAACAAUCAUCCUAUCAUGUAAAGACUCUUAGACACGUCCGGACAUAGAAUGAAUGUAGAGCUGGGGCGGGUUGUGUACUUGUGAUGGCCCCUACUGCUUUGCAAAGCCAUUGCCGAUGGGUUCCUAUUGGAAUUAUUUUAUUCUCUGUUCAUAUCUGUGCAUUUAUAUUCAUAUAUUUUUAUACUUAUAUUCCUUUUUUAUAUUGCUCUGAACAAUUAUAUAUAUCAAUUGUACUCUCUCCUUAUAAUUGAAUAAGAAAUACAAUAUUUCAUUCUUUUUUCUUUUCUAACAGUUCCACCCGACCAUACACAAGGCAAGUCCGUUACCGCAGUAUAGACCUCUAGUGAUAGCGUCUACCCUAGGACCUCCCACUACUCUCACCACACGCGUCAAUCCUCUCUAAGUGAGAAUGAAAGACCGUUGGAGUGUUAGGGAUAACCCCCCAUAUGGAAGCCUCUCACCAUUCAUUCAAUACACUAACUGAUCUCACCGAGAGACCGUAAUUCCAUAACCAAAUCCAACCACUUUAAUCAAAUGAUAUACCUCUUGAAUCAAUAAUGUACUAUACAUUAACUCAUCAAACGCAAGGUUUUUCCACACCAUAUAAAAAGUUUCGACUUCAUAUAAAAUACCAAAACAAGACAUAAAAAUAUUCAACUUUUAUUAUUUAUUUUAUGUACCUAAUAACCCCUCAAUCCCUUAAAUUAAAUCAUAAACAUUCGCUAGUGCCCUAAGUUAAUCCUAUGAUACAAUCAUUAUUUGAUACCCAACCUAUUUCUACAUUAUAUAAAAUUCCAAGUGCAAUUUAGUAUUACAAUAAAUCAUUCAUCAAAACAAUAGACAUCUUACAUAUAUCCAACAUAUACAUAUUCAUUCAUUAGUUACAAGCACAACAGAGUAUCACAUAGAUUUUCCAGUUUAAAUAGUUCAAGUUAUUAAAAUAGAAUACAAACAUGCACUUCUAUCAUUCGAACACAUGAAUCAUAUCAUAUCAUUGCACAAGAAUCAUGUAAUAUGACACCUACAUUUAUCUCUGAUUUCAUAUAAAAGUGAUACCCUUUUUCUUUUUCAACUAUUAACCACAUAAGUAGAAUCCAAAAAUUCAUCAAAUUUUUAUAAAUAUAAUACGAAACCUGAUACCAAAGCAAUUUAAAUUUCAACCAAGCUCAAAACAUAAUAUUAUAUCAUUCAUUCAAAUAUAUAUAUAUAUAUAUAUAUAUAUAUAUAUAUAAUGUACUAGUAUUAUAAAACUGGAAUGUACUCUUACUGUAACACAUAAUAUAAUAUACUACUUAUCACACUUUACCAAACCGUGGCCCCUCUCAACGUGCAUACAUAUAUAAAUAGGAAAACCCCUUCUCUGUAUACUAAAAUUUUUAAGAUAUAACUUUUCUUUUUCCAACGUCGAAACUCCAAUCAAUAAUUAGAUAUGUAUAUACUAUUAUAAGUGUUUUUAUAUAUAUAACCGUGUUAUAAUAAUAAUAAUAAUAAUAAUAUAUUAUAAUAUAUUAGAUUACAGAAGAACUUGAAUUCACUUAGAUAAUAUAUUAUAAUAUAUAUAAAACCUUAUAUUCCAGAAGAAGUUGAAUUCACAUGUAUAAUAUAUUAUAAUAUAUAAAAUCUUAGGUGCAGAAGUUGAAUUCUGGUCAUUCCCAUACUGUUUCUUUCUUCUAUUAUCCAAUACUCUCUCUUUCUCUUUUCUCAUGACACCCCCCUCUCAACCAAUUUAAUUACAACAACAAAGUUUCUCUCAAUUUAUUUUCAAACAAUAAUUAACAUAUUCACAGUCAGUCAUUAUAAAAUAUGCAACUCAACCAGUUCAACAAUUAAUUACAUAACUAAAACAACAUAUAAGUACCAAGGGAAACACAGUUAAACGACAUACAAUCACUCAAUAAAUUUUAUCUAGCUCCCCUUACCUGGAAAGUUUCACAGUUUAACUUGACAGGAACGCUCUAAACAAUGCUCCUCACAACAAAUUUCAAAGACACCCUAUAAAUCACCCAAUGAUGAUAGAAUUAGCUUUUUAGGCUAGAAAUUACCACAAAUUUGAAAUAGAAUGCUUCUAGUGGCAUGCAUUCAGUAAAAUAACAUGCCCUAGGUUUUAGAAACAGCGGAGAAAAGGGGAAAACCACUUACCGGCUACGGAACGUAAAACCAAUCGGAUGGUUUGGAAGCUCUCUACGGGACGGUCGCAGGGGUACCACCAAACAGAGCAUGCACCGAGUCAGUGGAAUGGAAGGCUAGAGAGAAAGCAGAGCUAGGAGAAGAAGAAACUGUUUAGAGAGAGAAUGUUU